AACGAACGCUGGCGGCAUGCCUAACACAUGCAAGUCGAACGAAGGCUUCGGCCUUAGUGGCGCACGGGUGCGUAACGCGUGGGAAUCUGCCCUUUGGUUCGGAAUAACAGCUGGAAACGGCUGCUAAUACCGGAUGAUGACGAAAGUCCAAAGAUUUAUCGCCAGAGGAUGAGCCCGCGUUGGAUUAGGUAGUUGGUGGGGUAAAGGCCUACCAAGCCGACGAUCCAUAGCUGGUCUGAGAGGAUGAUCAGCCACACUGGGACUGAGACACGGCCCAGACUCCUACGGGAGGCAGCAGUGGGUAAUAUUGGACAAUGGGCGCAAGCCUGAUCCAGCAAUGCCGCGUGAGUGAUGAAGGCCCUAGGGUUGUAAAGCUCUUUUACCCGGGAAGAUAAUGACUGUACCGGGAGAAUAAGCCCCGGCUAACUCCGUG
RNAcentral lists this ribosomal RNA (433 nucleotides) under uncultured bacterium. RNAcentral's name for it is "partial 16S ribosomal RNA". It matches the Rfam family "Bacterial small subunit ribosomal RNA", at positions 29 to 507 of the family's 1533-position model. The record is from RNAcentral.